GGCACACCAUCCCUCUUGGCCAAGUCGCGUGGAAAGGCAUCCAAGACACGCUUGGUCUUGGAUGACUUGCUGAAAGAAGCCCCAGGAUGGCCAUCUCUUUUGCAUGGUUUCGAGUGACACUGAGUCUCGACUGAUGCCAACGCUGUUUGUAUCCCGCAGCGGAGGAAAGAUCAUGGAUUUUCUGGAAGAAGUAGACUUGCUGCUACCAAGUGUGCGUGUCAUGGUUCUAUACACUGUGGAACCAACGAUAUGCCACUUUUGGACCCCCGGGAGGUAUACUCCCACUACCAGCGACUCCUCAACAAGAUCCGAGACCGAGGUGGAAUAGAAAUGACGGUUUGCACGUUAGUGCUCCCUCGCUCUCAUAACAGGCGGCGCCACCAGUUCAGGCGAAGGGCCCUCGACUAACCGCCGACUGGUCCAGCUUUGCCGGAACUCCACCGACCUCUGCUACCUGGACCACGAAUUUCACCGACGACCAACCGAGGUCCUUGCAGCUGACGGCCUCCAUCCAAACUUCGAGGGAGUUCGGAUGAUCAGCCGACAUCUGCUGGACCUGCUUCCGCGACUUCGACGGCUCCUACCAUCAUGCCGACCCAACGUGACUGCUGUUCCGGAUCCAGUGUGGCCUACCCCUCAGCAGGCAGCUACUCUGGAACGACGAUGGCAGAAUAUAAGACCAUCGCCGCUAGUCUGACUAAACGCCGUUAUGCCCUCAGUACAGCUUACCCUGAGCUGGCUCCCCAAGAAAGAUGACAUCACCACCCGGACUUGACCUUGCGGAAUGUUCCAGAAUAUGACUCACGGACAACUGCCACGUGGCAUACUUGCACCGAUUGUGACGUCACUCAGGGAACCUAUUUAAGCAAUAUGCAACCCUUGCACCUCUUUUGUCCUGACGAAGACAGUGCCACUGUCAAAAUGUCGACCAUUCUUUUUUUUAAAUUACCGAUUAGAUAAAUUAGUUUUUGUUAACGUUCCUGUAAUCUGUAGUCCACGUCUUAUUAUUUCACUUUUAUUCAACUUCGUAGC
Ornithodoros turicata is the source of this 1032-nucleotide long non-coding RNA. RefSeq lists it as uncharacterized. Lineage: Eukaryota; Metazoa; Arthropoda; Arachnida; Ixodida; Argasidae. The transcript has 3 exons. The record is from RefSeq and is a predicted model, not a curated record.